Molecule: ribosomal RNA, 510 nt
Filed under: uncultured bacterium
Lineage: Bacteria
Description: partial 16S ribosomal RNA
Rfam family: Bacterial small subunit ribosomal RNA
Source: RNAcentral
GACGAACGCUGGCGGCGUGCUUAACACAUGCAAGUCGAACGAAGAGCGAUGGAAGCUUGCUUCUAUCAAUCUUAGUGGCGAACGGGGGAGUAACGCGUAAUCAACCUGCCCUUCAGAGGGGGACAACAGUUGGAAACGACUGCUAAUACCGCAUACGAUCUAAUCUCGGCAUCGAGGAUAGAUGAAAGGUUGCCGCGACAUGUAGACUAUCACUGGAGGUGGGGAUUGGGUGUGAUUAGGUAGUUGGAGGGGUAAAGGCCCACCAAGGCGAUGAUCCGUAGCCGGUCUGGGAGGAUGAACGGCCACAUUGGGACUGAGACACGGCCCAGACUCCUACGGGAGGCAGCAGUGGGGAAUCUUCCGCAAUGGACGAAAGUCUGACGCCGCACCGCCGGGUGAGUGAUGGCGGCCUUCGGGUUGUAAAGCUCUGUUAAUCGGGACGAAAGGGCUUCUUGCGAAUAGUGCGAAGGAUUGACGGUACCGGAAUAGAAAGCCACGGCUAACUACGUG